CCGAGAGGUUACUGAACCCUAUCAAACUAAGAAUGCCGGAUAAUGUGAGUACAGCAGUCAGACUAUGGGAGAUAAGUUUCAUGGUCAAAAGGGAAACAGCCCAGACCCACAGCUAAGGUCCCAAAGUACGGUUAAGUGGAAAAGGAUGUGGGGUUGCACAGACAACCAGGAUGUUGGCUUAGAAGCAGCCACCAUUUAA
RNAcentral lists this ribosomal RNA (199 nucleotides) under Bicosoecida sp. CB-2014. Its description in RNAcentral is "partial Bacterial large subunit ribosomal RNA". It matches the Rfam family "Bacterial large subunit ribosomal RNA", at positions 928 to 1126 of the family's 2925-position model. The record is from RNAcentral. Lineage: Eukaryota; Bigyra; Bicosoecida.